RNAcentral lists this ribosomal RNA (392 nucleotides) under uncultured Gammaproteobacteria bacterium. RNAcentral describes it as "bacterial SSU rRNA". It matches the Rfam family "Bacterial small subunit ribosomal RNA", at positions 370 to 779 of the family's 1533-position model. Lineage: Bacteria; Pseudomonadati; Pseudomonadota; Gammaproteobacteria. The record is from RNAcentral.
AAUGGGCGCAAGCCUGAUCUAGCCAUGCCGCGUGAGUGAUGAGGGCCUUAGGGUCGUAAAGCUCUUUCGCCUGUGAAGAUAAUGACUGUAGCAGGUAAAGAAACCCCGGCUAACUCCGUGCCAGCAGCCGCGGUAAUACGGAGGGGGUUAGCGUUGUUCGGAAUUACUGGGCGUAAAGCGCGCGUAGGCGGACAUUUAAGUCAGAGGUGAAAUCCCAGGGCUCAACCCUGGAACUGCCUUUGAUACUGGGUGUCUUGAGUUCGAGAGAGGUGAGUGGAAUUCCGAGUGUAGAGGUGAAAUUCGUAGAUAUUCGGAGGAACACCAGUGGCGAAGGCGGCUCACUGGCUCGAUACUGACGCUGAGGUGCGAAAGUGUGGGGAGCAAACAGGAUU